CAGCAGCCGCGGUAAUACAGAGGGUGCGAGCGUUAAUCGGAUUUACUGGGCGUAAAGCGUGCGUAGGCGGUUUUUUAAGUCGGAUGUGAAAUCCCUGAGCUUAACUUAGGAAUUGCAUUCGAUACUGGGAAGCUAGAGUAUGGGAGAGGAUGGUAGAAUUCCAGGUGUAGCGGUGAAAUGCGUAGAGAUCUGGAGGAAUACCGAUGGCGAAGGCAGCCAUCUGGCCUAAUACUGACGCUGAGGUACGAAAGCAUGGGGAGCAAACAGGAUUAGAUACCCCAGUAGUCCCUGUCUCUUAUAU
This 301-nucleotide ribosomal RNA is filed under the name uncultured bacterium. Its description in RNAcentral is "partial 16S ribosomal RNA". It matches the Rfam family "Bacterial small subunit ribosomal RNA", at positions 509 to 809 of the family's 1533-position model. The record is from RNAcentral.